Long non-coding RNA from Dreissena polymorpha, 762 nucleotides. RefSeq lists it as uncharacterized. The transcript is spliced from 7 exons. The record is from RefSeq and is a predicted model, not a curated record. Lineage: Eukaryota; Metazoa; Mollusca; Bivalvia; Myida; Dreissenidae.
UGUGUUGAGUUGUACAUAUUUAGCCAUGAAAUCAUCUUGUUGGAAUUCUAAUAUUCUAUGAAUUUUUUUCAAUUUCAUUCCCAGCUGGAGAUAGAGUUGCAGGUUUCGAUAAUGGAGUACGUAGUCUUUCUUGUCUUCUAGAGUGCAGAGUUCAACGAUGGCGGUGUGGAAGCAGCUUCCAAAGAAGUGGCACCUGCAGCACUCUGGUCUUCUCGCAUUGCGUAGCGGUGGUCAUUAUCGAUCAGUGAAGUUUGAGGAUGUGCUGAAGAUUUUUUUCGGGAGAGUCGGAACACAAUCAAAGUUUGAUGAGGGAAUAUCUCUGUUCGUAGUUUAUAUAACUGAUUUGAAUGGACUUAUAUCAACCACUGCAAUGGUUUGAGAGCGACACUCAAGUCGAUUGAAUGGGUACUUGGCUGUACUACUUUUCAACAUCUCAGAAUGGGCAACGAUGAUAGCUGGAUUGACUCUGACUUUCUUUGCUAGAAGUCUGUUCUGAUGGAGAAACUGAGUUGAUGCUGACACUACUUUCUGGAGCAGACUUUUGUGAGGUUGCAAAUCCCUUCCCAACCUGAGAAGGCUUCCAUUGCUGUGGAGUGCAUUGAACGACAUCAUGGCCUAGAAGAACAUACCCAGGGAUAAUACCAGCAGCAACAAGUACCACGCAACCGCCAAAAUGCACGCCGCCAUUUUGAAGAACGUCUGAGUGAACCGAUGGUUUCCAUGGAUUCCAUGAAGAUUCAAUUGAUUUGUUGGUUUUUAAUU